This is a non-coding RNA of Hordeum vulgare subsp. vulgare (domesticated barley), 136 nucleotides long. The record is from Rfam. Lineage: Eukaryota; Viridiplantae; Streptophyta; Magnoliopsida; Poales; Poaceae.
UAAAUACUCCCUCCGUCCCAAAAUUUUUGUCUUAGAUUUGUCUAGAUAUAAAAAUGUCUAGUUACAUUUUAGUAUUUAGAUACAUCCAUUUUUAGACAAACCUAAGACAAGAAUUUUAGGACGGAGGGAGUAGGAU